Molecule: ribosomal RNA, 495 nt
Filed under: uncultured bacterium
Lineage: Bacteria
Description: partial 16S ribosomal RNA
Rfam family: Bacterial small subunit ribosomal RNA
Source: RNAcentral
GACGAACGCUGGCGGCGUGCCUAAUACAUGCAAGUAGAACGCUGAAGGAGGAGCUUGCUUCUCCGGAUGAGUUGCGAACGGGUGAGUAACGCGUAGGUAACCUGCCUGGUAGCGGGGGAUAACUAUUGGAAACGAUAGCUAAUACCGCAUAACAGUAGAUGUUGCAUGACAUUUGCUUAAAAGGUUCAAUUGCCUCACUACCAGAUGGACCUGCGUUGUAUUAGCUAGUUGGUGAGGUAACGGCUCACCAAGGCGACGAUACAUAGCCGACCUGAGAGGGUGAUCGGCCACACUGGGACUGAGACACGGCCCAGACUCCUACGGGAGGCAGCAGUAGGGAAUCUUCGGCAAUGGACGGAAGUCUGACCGAGCAACGCCGCGUGAGUGAAGAAGGUUUUCGGAUCGUAAAGCUCUGUUGUAAGAGAAGAACGAGUGUGAGAGUGGAAAGUUCACACUGUGACGGUAUCUUACCAGAAAGGGACGGCUAACUACGUG